AGUGAACGCUGGCGGUAGGCCUAACACAUGCAAGUCGAACGGCAGCACAGUAAGAGCUUGCUCUUACGGGUGGCGAGUGGCGGACGGGUGAGGAAUACAUCGUACUCUACUUUUUCGUGGGAGAUAACGUAGGGAAACUUACGCUAAUACCGCAUACGACCUACGGGUGAAAGCAGGGGAUCUUCGGACCUUGCGCGAUUGAAUGAGCCGAUGUCGGAUUAGCUAGUUGGCGGGGUAAAGGCCCACCAAGGCGACGAUCCGUAGCUGGUCUGAGAGGAUGAUCAGCCACACUGGAACUGAGACACGGUCCAGACUCCUACGGGAGGCAGCAGUGGGGAAUAUUGGACAGUGGGCGCAAGCCUGAUCCAGCCAUACCGCGUGGGUGAAGAAGGCCUUCGGGUUGUAAAGCCCUUUUGUUGGGAAAGAAAAGCAGCAGGUUAAGACCCCGCUGUUCUGACGGUACCCAAAGAAUAAGCACCGGCUAACUUCGUG
RNAcentral lists this ribosomal RNA (492 nucleotides) under uncultured bacterium. RNAcentral describes it as "partial 16S ribosomal RNA". It matches the Rfam family "Bacterial small subunit ribosomal RNA", at positions 29 to 507 of the family's 1533-position model. The record is from RNAcentral.